UUGAACGCUGGCGGCAUGCCUUACACAUGCAAGUCGAACGGUAACAGGUCUUCGGAUGCUGACGAGUGGCGAACGGGUGAGUAAUACAUCGGAACGUGCCCGAUCGUGGGGGAUAACGCAGCGAAAGCUGUGCUAAUACCGCAUACGAUCUACGGAUGAAAGCGGGGGAUCGCAAGACCUCGCGCGGACGGAGCGGUCGAUGGCAGAUUAGGUAGUUGGUGGGAUAAAAGCUUACCAAGCCGACGAUCUGUAGCUGGUCUGAGAGGAUGAUCCGCCACACUGGAACUGAGACACGGUCCAGACUCCUACGGGAGGCAGCAGUGGGGAAUUUUGGACAAUGGGGGCAACCCUGAUCCAGCCAUGCCGCGUGAGUGAAGAAGGCCUUCGGGUUGUAAGCUCUUUCAGCCGGGAAGAAAUCACAUGGGUUAAUACCCUGUGUGGAUGACGGUACCGGAAUAAGAAGCACCGGCUAACUACGU
Molecule: ribosomal RNA, 479 nt
Filed under: uncultured bacterium
Lineage: Bacteria
Description: bacterial SSU rRNA
Rfam family: Bacterial small subunit ribosomal RNA
Source: RNAcentral